UUUGGUGGCUGUUGCGGCGGUGUCCCACCUCUUCCCAUUCCGAACAGAGAAGUUAAGCCCGUCUGCGCCGAUGGUACUGCAAUGCAAUGCGGGAGAGUAGGGAGCUGCCUGCUU
Molecule: ribosomal RNA, 114 nt
Filed under: Hallella seregens
Lineage: Bacteria; Pseudomonadati; Bacteroidota; Bacteroidia; Bacteroidales; Prevotellaceae
Source: RNAcentral